GAAUGUGUGUGUAAGAGAGAAACAGUAAUUUAUUGGAGUUUGGGGGCAUGGGACACAUUAAAGUAGUAAAUAUUUGAAAAUCCCUUCUGUCCUUUCCAGAGAGCACUAAUGUAAAAAUGAAGCAUUUAAUAUUAAAGAUAUAUACCAUCUAUAGGCAAAAUCAUCACUAAAAAGUUAGGUGAUGUCAUAGUUUAUAAGAGGCAAUUACGUCUAUAUCACAUGAAUAGGCUUGUUAUUAAAGUUAAAUAGCCAGUUUUCAUUUGUGGGCAGAAGCAGGUGUGAAGUGGGCGGCACCAGGGAAAGGAGAGACAGCAGAGAGAAGCAGGAAGGACAGAGGAGAAUGUGAGGAAGUGCAGCUCAGCCAGGACUGGGGACAGCACACAGGCGGUGGGCAGGCCCCUCUGGGGGUGGAAGGCAAAAGCUCCCGAACCUCAACGGUACACUUGUAGACAGAAUAAUAUUGGCAGACAGCUCUGUGAAGUCCAAGUGCAGAUGUCAUCUGUGAAGUAUCACAGUCUACAAAUGUAAUAGUAAGCCAGAUGAUGUCACUUUGUGCCCAACCGGAAAGGCCACCUAGAAUCUAGUGGGUCCAAG
Molecule: long non-coding RNA, 594 nt
Filed under: Mustela putorius furo (domestic ferret)
Lineage: Eukaryota; Metazoa; Chordata; Mammalia; Carnivora; Mustelidae
Description: lncRNA (ENSMPUG00000031909.1)
Source: RNAcentral